Molecule: ribosomal RNA, 496 nt
Filed under: uncultured bacterium
Lineage: Bacteria
Description: bacterial SSU rRNA
Rfam family: Bacterial small subunit ribosomal RNA
Source: RNAcentral
GAUGAACGCUAGCGGCAGGCUUAACACAUGCAAGUCGAGGGGUAGAGGAAGCUUGCUUCCUUGAGACCGGCGCACGGUGCGUAACGCGUAUGCAAUCUACCUUAUACAGGGGAUAGCCCAGAGAAAUUUGGAUUAAUACCCCAUAGUAUAAUUGAAUGGCAUCAUUUGAUUAUUAAAAGUUCCAACGGUAUAAGAUGAGCAUGCGUCCCAUUAGCUAGUUGGUGUGGUAACGGCACACCAAGGCGACGAUGGGUAGGGGUCCUGAGAGGGAGAUCCCCCACACUGGUACUGAGACACGGACCAGACUCCUACGGGAGGCAGCAGUGAGGAAUAUUGGUCAAUGGGCGCAAGCCUGAACCAGCCAUGCCGCGUGCAGGAUGACGGUCCUAUGGAUUGUAAACUGCUUUGUACAGGAAGAAACACUCCCUCGUGAGGGAGCUUGACGGUACUGUAAAGAUAAGGAUCGGCUAACUCCGUGCCAGCAGCCGCGGUAAUC